ACGGCCGCGGGAUUCUCCACCGUGCAAAGGUAGCAUAAUCACUUGUCUCCUAAAUAGAGACUAGUAUGAACGGCCAAAUGAGGAUUUACCUGUCUCUUGAAGCCUAUCUAUGAAACUGAUCUUUCAGUACAAAAGCUGAAAUUUAAACACAAGACGAAAAGACCCUGUGGAACUUAAAGCUACAGCCAACAAAAUGGACCUAUUGCUUUUAGUUGGGGCAACUUUGGAAAAAAACAAAACUUCCAAUUAAUCAUCUAGACAGACAUGCCGACAUAUAAUAAACUAGAUCCAGUACUACUGAUUAAAGAAAAAAGCUACCCCAGGGAUAACAGCGCCAUCCCCUCUUAGAGCCCCCAUCGACGAGCGGGGUUUACGACCU
RNAcentral lists this ribosomal RNA (379 nucleotides) under Calyptommatus leiolepis. RNAcentral describes it as "partial 16S ribosomal RNA". It matches the Rfam family "Bacterial large subunit ribosomal RNA", at positions 1927 to 2526 of the family's 2925-position model. The record is from RNAcentral. Lineage: Eukaryota; Metazoa; Chordata; Lepidosauria; Squamata; Gymnophthalmidae.